This 510-nucleotide ribosomal RNA is filed under the name uncultured bacterium. RNAcentral's name for it is "bacterial SSU rRNA". It matches the Rfam family "Bacterial small subunit ribosomal RNA", at positions 8 to 507 of the family's 1533-position model. The record is from RNAcentral.
AGAGUUUGAUCACUGGCUCAGAGUGAACGCUGGCGGCAGGCCUAAUACAUGCAAGUCGAACGGCAGCACAGCAGAGCUUGCUCUGUGGGUGGCGAGUGGCGGACGGGUGAGGAAUACGUGGGAAUCUGCCCAGCCGUGGGGGAUAACGUAGGGAAACUUACGCUAAUACCGCAUGCGCCCUUCGGGGAAAGCCGGGGACCUUCGGGCCUGGCGCGAUUGGAUGAGCCCACGUCGGAUUAGCUAGUUGGCGGGGUAAAGGCCCACCAAGGCGACGAUCCGUAGCUGGUCUGAGAGGAUGAUCAGCCACACUGGAACUGAGACACGGUCCAGACUCCUACGGGAGGCAGCAGUAGGGAAUAUUGGACAAUGGGCGCAAGCCUGAUCCAGCCAUGCCGCGUGAGUGAAGAAGGCCCUCGGGUUGUAAAGCUCUUUUGUCCGGAAAGAAAAGCGCCGGGUUAAUACCCUGGUGUCCUGACGGUACCGGAAGAAUAAGCACCGGCUAACUUCGUG